Molecule: ribosomal RNA, 468 nt
Filed under: uncultured bacterium
Lineage: Bacteria
Description: partial 16S ribosomal RNA
Rfam family: Bacterial small subunit ribosomal RNA
Source: RNAcentral
GACGAACGCUGGCGGCGUGCUUAACACAUGCAAGUCGAACGGAAAGGCCCUGCUUUUGUGGGGUGCUCGAGUGGCGAACGGGUGAGUAACACGUGAGUAACCUGCCCUUGACUUUGUGAUAUCUUCAGGAAACUGGGGCUAAUACCGGAUAGGAUCUCCUGCUGCAUGUUGUGGGUUGGAAAGUUUCGGCGGUUGGGGAUGGACUCGCGGCUUAUCAGCUUGUUGGUUGGGUAGUGGCUUACCAAGGCUUUGACGGGUAGCCGGCCUGAGAGGGUGACAGGCAAAAUUGGGACUGAGAUACGGCCCAGACGCGAACGGGAGGCAGCAGUGGGGAAUAGUGCACAAUGGGAGGAAGCCUGAUGAAGCAACGGCGCGUGCGGGAUGACGGCCUUCGGGUUGUAAACAGAUUUGGCCUGUGACGAAGCGUGAGUGACGGUAAUGGGUAAAGAAGCACCGGCUAACUACGUG